Molecule: ribosomal RNA, 192 nt
Filed under: uncultured bacterium
Lineage: Bacteria
Description: partial 16S ribosomal RNA
Rfam family: Bacterial small subunit ribosomal RNA
Source: RNAcentral
AGUCUGCAACCCGACUCCACGAAGCUGGAUUCGCUAGUAAUCGCGCAUCAGCCACGGCGCGGUGAAUACGUUCCCGGGCCUUGUACACACCGCCCGUCAAGCCAUGGGAGCCGGGGGUACCUGAAGUGCGUAACCGCGAGGAUCGCCCUAGGGUAAAACUGGUGACGUGGGGCUAAGUCGUAACAAGGUAUC